UGAUGAUAAAAAAGUUAUAUUCAGGUCUCUUUUCUUUUUUUCUUCCAAGAAUUCUUUUGAUUAAUGUUUUCUGCUUUGUAGUAUUCAGGUUUCUGCAGGAGCUAACAUUGAAAGAACAAUCAAGGCAUGCGGCAUGGAAGGUAAUCCAAGAGGCCAGGAUUGUGAAAGAAGGCCAAUUUGAAGAUGUUGGACCAAAUUUGCAGCCUACUGGUUUGUGAAUAGGAAUGAGAAUCAUUUUCUGUCGUGUACAUGAGGAUUUUUCUGCCAGAAUCCAGAGGAGUAUAUUAAACAUGAUCCAAAAGGGUAGGUUAAAAAGGGUGCACCAUAGCUUGGGUGAUUUGGGAUUGCUAUGGACUAAGAAGCAAGAAAGAAGAUACAUGACUUACUUGAUGAUGUGAACGAAGAAGUUUUUGAGGAUGAAGAUGACUUUUUUGUGUAUUAGGGCAUGAAAAAUUACCUUUGGAUGAUCGUGUAAACUCAAAUCAAAGUUUUAGGACUGUGUGUACUAUAUUGUGCUUAUAUCGGUGUAUUGAGUGCGAAACCUACUCUGACUAAAUACUGCAAUGGAAGCAUAUUAGUGCAUUGGAAGAAAAGUUGCAGAAUGCUUAUAAUGAAAAUGCAAAACUUAAAAGUGAAGCAUAGGGAAGAUGAGAAGCUUUGGAGUGGACUAGAGUCAAAGUUCUCCUCCACAAAGAGCUUAUGCGAUCAACUUACUGAAACUUUACAAACGUUAGCUUAUCAGGUUCAGGAUGCUGAGAGAGACAAAGCCAUCUUCGCAAAUAAGUUGUCUGAGACUUCACAGCUCUUGAAAAUCUGAAUGAUCAAAUGAAGUCUCCUUAAAAAUCGUAAUUUAAAUCCUCAGAAGAUCUCCUUAAAAAUCGCGACAAAGAAUUGACGGAGCUUUGCAUUGACAAGGAAAAUGUAGUGAAACAACUCAGAGACAAACAAUGCAAAGUCUUCUGUCUUGUCAACGAAAAAAGAUAAUCUAUGCAAGAACUUUCAAGAGAAUGUAACAUCUCAUGAAUCAACCUGUUUUAGAAACUUAACAAAAACAUCUCAUACAUAUAUAGAGGAUUAGAUAGUUGCUUUAUGAUAUACAUACAUAUAUAGAGGAUUAGAUAGUUGCAGAAAUGUGGAUCUCUAAAUGACGCUUGCAGAGCUAGCAAAGGAUUUUGGCGACUCUAUUACGAAGAUGGAGCUAAAAAAUAUACCAGUCAUUCGAGUAAGGAAGUAGCCCCCUGUUUAGUUAAAUAUUAAGAGUAUAUUUCUAAACAUAUACUGUGUUUUCACACGGGUUCCAUGUUAUUAAAAGUUUUUAACGUAA
This is a long non-coding RNA of Erigeron canadensis, 1324 nucleotides long. RefSeq lists it as uncharacterized. The transcript is spliced from 8 exons. Lineage: Eukaryota; Viridiplantae; Streptophyta; Magnoliopsida; Asterales; Asteraceae. The record is from RefSeq and is a predicted model, not a curated record.